This 398-nucleotide long non-coding RNA is filed under the name Bos taurus (domestic cattle). RNAcentral describes it as "long non-coding RNA NONBTAT027134". The record is from RNAcentral. Lineage: Eukaryota; Metazoa; Chordata; Mammalia; Artiodactyla; Bovidae.
GUGAAGUCGCUCAGUCGUGUCCGACUCCUAGCGACCCCAUGGACUGCAGCCUAACCAGGCUCCUCCAUCCAUGGGAUUUUCCAGGCAAGAGAACUGGAGUGGGGUGCCAUUGCCUUCUCUGUCCUACUAUACCCUAAUUGUUUACUAUAAUUAGAAAGGGUUUCCUUAAUCAAAGCCAGAAUGAAACCCAGGAGUGAGAUGUUGGUGGCAGCAGCUGGUGCCCUCUCUUCACCUUCCUACAGCUAUAAGGUGACGUCAAAAGGGAAGUGAGUGGUGGGUUUGAGAUGCGUGUUGUGCUUUUGUACUUCUUAACUAAAAAAAAAUCAUAUGCAUGUAGAACUAUUAAAAACCACACUUGAAAAAAUUAAUGUGACCUCAUUUUGUAGUCAUAAACAGGU